Molecule: ribosomal RNA, 406 nt
Filed under: uncultured bacterium
Lineage: Bacteria
Description: partial 16S ribosomal RNA
Rfam family: Bacterial small subunit ribosomal RNA
Source: RNAcentral
AUUGAACGCUGGCGGCAGGCCUAACACAUGCAAGUCGAGCGCGCGGCGGACGGGUGAGUAUUGUCUGGGAAGCUGUCCGCGGGAGGGGGGUAACUCCUGGAAACGCUAGCUAAUACCCCAUACCCUCUGAUGUGACCCGAUGGGAUUAGCUAGUAGGUGGGGUAACGGCUCACCUAUGCGACGAUCCCUAGCUGGUCUGAGAGGAGGACCAGCCACACUGGAACUGAGACACGGCCCAGACUCCUACGGGAGGCAGCAGUGGGGAAUAUUGCACAAUGGGCGCAAGCCUGAUGCAGCCAUGCCGCGUGUGUGAAGAAGGCCUUCGGGUUGUAAAGCACUUUCAGCGGGGAGGCGUUACCCGCAGAAGAAGCACCGGCUAACUCCGUGCCAGCAGCCGAGGUAAUAC